UACGUAGGGGGCAAGCGUUGUCCGGAUUUAUUGGGCGUAAAGCGCGUGUAGGCGGCUAUGCAGGUCCGCUGUGAAAACUCGAGGCUCAACCUCGAGACGUCGGUGGAAACCGCAUGGCUAGAGUCCGGAAGAGGAGAGUGGGAUUCCCGGUGUAGCGGUGAAAUGCGCAGAUAUCGGGAAGAACACCCGUGGCGAAGGCGGCUCUCUGGGACGGUACUGACGCUGAGACGCGAAAGCGUGGGGAGCGAACAGG
RNAcentral lists this ribosomal RNA (253 nucleotides) under uncultured bacterium. Its description in RNAcentral is "partial 16S ribosomal RNA". It matches the Rfam family "Bacterial small subunit ribosomal RNA", at positions 524 to 776 of the family's 1533-position model. The record is from RNAcentral.